UGGGGAAUAUUGCGCAAUGGGGGAAACCCUGACGCAGCAACGCCGCGUGAGUGAGGAAGUAUCUCGGUAUGUAAAGCUCUAUCAGCGGGGAAGAAGGAAGACGGUACCCGACUAAGAAGCCCCGGCUAACUACGUGCCAGCAGCCGCGGUAAUACGUAGGGGGCGAGCGUUAUCCGGAUUUACUGGGUGUAAAGGGAGCGUAGACGGCGUCGCAAGUCUGAAGUGAAAGCCCGUGGCUCAACCGCGGAACCGCUUUGGAAACUGCGAGGCUGGAGUGCUGGAGAGGUAAGCGGAAUUCCUGGUGUAGCGGUGAAAUGCGUAGAUAUCAGGAGGAACACCGGUGGCGAAGGCGGCUUACUGGACAGUGACUGACGUUGAGGCUCGAAAGCGUGGGGAGCGAACAGG
This 405-nucleotide ribosomal RNA is filed under the name uncultured bacterium. Its description in RNAcentral is "bacterial SSU rRNA". It matches the Rfam family "Bacterial small subunit ribosomal RNA", at positions 355 to 776 of the family's 1533-position model. The record is from RNAcentral.